UACGGAGGGAGCUAGCGUUGUUCGGAAAUACUGGGCGUAAAGCGCACGUAGGCGGCGCAGCAAGUCAGGGGUGAAAUCCCGGGGCUCAACCCCGGAACUGCCCUUGAAACUGCAGUGCUAGAAUUCUGGAGAGGCGAGUGGAAUUCCGAGUGUAGAGGUGAAAUUCGUAGAUAUUCGGAAGAACACCAGUGGCGAAGGCGGCUCACUGGCCCGGUACUGACGCUGAGAUACGAAAGCGUGGGGAGCAAACAGG
Molecule: ribosomal RNA, 253 nt
Filed under: uncultured bacterium
Lineage: Bacteria
Description: partial 16S ribosomal RNA
Rfam family: Bacterial small subunit ribosomal RNA
Source: RNAcentral